GACGAACGCUGGCGGCGUGCCUAAUACAUGUAAGUAGAACGCACAGUUUAUACCGUAGCUUGCUACACCAUAGACUGUGAGUUGCGAACGGGUGAGUAACGCGUAGGUAACCUGCCUGGUAGCGGGGGAUAACUAUUGGAAACGAUAGCUAAUACCGCAUAAUAUUAAUUAUUGCAUGAUAAUUAAUUGAAAGGUGCAAUUGCACCACUACCAGAUGGACCUGCGUUGUAUUAGCUAGUAGGUGAGGUAACGGCUCACCUAGGCGACGAUACAUAGCCGACCUGAGAGGGUGAUCGGCCACACUGGGACUGAGACACGGCCCAGACUCCUACGGGAGGCAGCAGUAGGGAAUCUUCGACAAUGGACGAAAGUCUGACCGAGCAACGCCGCGUGAGUGAAGAAGGGUUUCGGAUCGUAAAGCUCUGUUGUAAGAGAAGAACGGGUGUGAGAGUGGAAAGUUCACACUGUGACGGUGUCUUACCAGAAAGGGACGGCUAACUACGUG
This 505-nucleotide ribosomal RNA is filed under the name uncultured bacterium. Its description in RNAcentral is "partial 16S ribosomal RNA". It matches the Rfam family "Bacterial small subunit ribosomal RNA", at positions 28 to 507 of the family's 1533-position model. The record is from RNAcentral.